Molecule: unclassified non-coding RNA, 1548 nt
Filed under: Ixodes scapularis (black-legged tick)
Lineage: Eukaryota; Metazoa; Arthropoda; Arachnida; Ixodida; Ixodidae
Description: uncharacterized LOC121832959, transcript variant X2
Source: RNAcentral
UUUUGGCUGGUACGGUUCCGUUCUGUUCCGCCUUGGCGCCCUUGGCCGCGGGGGCAAUGUUUUUGUUUUCGUUCUACGUUCAGGUGUUGAGUGGCGACGUAUUAACCGUCGAUAACCAGCUGAAGCAGCUCAAGUGGCUCAAGUUCUCUAGUGGAACGAGGUUGACCGUGCGCAGUGGCAGCCGUUGACAACAAAAACAAUGUAUGCACUCAGCUUCGCCGGAUGAGUGCCGGCGUCGAUCGCGAACCGCCAGAGCCGCCAAAUACCUCUCGUACAUCUCCAAGAACACCAAGAACAGGAGGUAUUCAUAAAGGUCUGAACCACGCGAGGAUCGUCUCGAAGCAUGGUAGCCUCAACAGACGCUUGCCGCCACACGCGAGGAGAAAGCAGGAGGCCCGAAGUUUGAAUGUGAAGAGGAGGUGCGAAGAGCUGGCCCUCACUUUUUCAAGGCAGCCGCAGAACACUACGAGCCCCGAAUCACUGCCGCGGCUGACUCACGCGGAUGCUGUGCUGCACCCUGCACUGCACAUGGUUCGAAGCACACUUCAGGGGACCAGUGCAUGCCCCUGAUGCAUCGUCGCGGUAUGUUUUGUACUGCUUUUCCUAGCGGUGCACUGAGCAGUCCAAUCUUGAAGGGAGCACGCGAGUGCGUAGCCAGUGCUCCAUGCAGCAAGGACCGCAAGCACCCGCGGAAGCUUGGAGCACACGCAGUGACGCCAGCAGCCGUGCACGCUGGCGUCGUCUGCUACUGUACUGUCCUUUCGUUCGGUGCGCAGAAAAAAAAAGGAGUGACCGCUCUGUUAAAAGUCUGAUGGUGAAGGCAUCCUUUACAGAAGCACUGUAUGGCUCUCUGCACGCUAGAAUGGGGACUGUCGUUGAUGCUCGCAGGGGCGUCGCCCACAACUAAGCAGACGACCAAAGUCCUGAGCAGGUCCCAGGGAUCAUGGCAUCGAUGAGCUCGCUUUCGCCUUGUCCAAGGUAGCAGCGGAACACUACGGGCAGGCCCGGAGUCACCGCACCGGCUGGCUCACGGGCGUCGUCCUGUACUCUGCACGGCACUGCGUGUGGCUUAACCGGCCAAGCAGAGGGUCACUGCAUGACCUUUAUGAGGCGUCGCUAGCCAUUGUAAGUAUAUUUUGGACGCUCGUGUCAGGGGAUGUACUUUUGUGUUCUACAACAGAACAUGUUUGGUGGCGGUUCAGUCUUGCCAAUUCAGCUAUUUCGAAACAUAAUUUUGUGGCGACUCGGCUUAGGUUUUCUGGCUCGGCCGUCUUUUGCACCAGUGUCUAGGCUCGGCGUAAGCCUCUUUGUUCUUUAUUGUCAAGGCUAGUGUAAUUUCUGCUACGCCGUCGAAGCAACUUCUGCAUGCGAACAAGAUGCAAGACGAAGCUACAUGCUCGUGCACAGUGCAUGACCACAUGUGAAAACUAAUAGCGAGUUUGUUUCGCUGCACUCGUGCCCAUGCGCACCCACUCGCAACAUGAAGUGAGUUUGUUUCGCCGCCGGCACUCCACACGUGCAUGCGCUCGCUGCACCCUGAGAAUUAAG